RNAcentral lists this non-coding RNA (129 nucleotides) under Rhodovulum sulfidophilum. RNAcentral describes it as "TPP sequence". It matches the Rfam family "TPP riboswitch aptamer (THI element)". Rfam says of the family: Vitamin B(1) in its active form thiamin pyrophosphate (TPP) is an essential coenzyme that is synthesised by coupling of pyrimidine and thiazole moieties in bacteria. The previously detected thiamin-regulatory element, thi box was extended, resulting in a new, highly conserved RNA secondary structure, the THI element, which is widely distributed in eubacteria and also occurs in some archaea. Lineage: Bacteria; Pseudomonadati; Pseudomonadota; Alphaproteobacteria; Rhodobacterales; Paracoccaceae. The record is from RNAcentral.
GGCCUCACCUAGGGGUGCCCCGGCAGGGGGCUGAGAGUCUGCAGGCACGGCCAUGGCCCGGCGCAGCGCAGUGACCCUUCGAACCUGAUCCGGAUCAUGCCGGCGAAGGGACAGGACCGAAACGCUUUC